Molecule: unclassified non-coding RNA, 200 nt
Filed under: Helicosporium sp.
Lineage: Eukaryota; Fungi; Ascomycota; Dothideomycetes; Tubeufiales; Tubeufiaceae
Description: partial internal transcribed spacer 2
Source: RNAcentral
UUAAGUUCAGCGGGUAUCCCUACCUGAUCCGAGGUCAAACCAUAGAAAAAUAUGAGGUUGUCAGGCGGGUGACGUCCACUUCCAGAAAGCGAGAAAAAAUUGACUACGCUUAGGAGUUGAAUACCACCGCCUACGAGUUUCGGACAUGUCCAGUAACGGACAAAGAUCCAAUACCAAGCCGAAGCUUGAGGGUUUGAAAU